UACAGAGGGGGCAAGCGUUGUUCGGGAUUACUGGGCGUAAAGGGCGCGUAGGCGGCCUUCUAAGUCGAACGUGAAAUCCCCGGGCUCAACCCGGGAACUGCGUCCGAUACUGGAAGGCUUGAAUCCGGGAGAGGGAUGCGGAAUUCCAGGUGUAGCGGUGAAAUGCGUAGAUAUCUGGAGGAACACCGGUGGCGAAGGCGGCAUCCUGGACCGGCAUUGACGCUGAGGCGCGAAAGCCAGGGGAGCAAACGGG
Molecule: ribosomal RNA, 253 nt
Filed under: uncultured bacterium
Lineage: Bacteria
Description: partial 16S ribosomal RNA
Rfam family: Bacterial small subunit ribosomal RNA
Source: RNAcentral